This 72-nucleotide transfer RNA is filed under the name Bacteroidia bacterium. RNAcentral's name for it is "tRNA-Arg". It matches the Rfam family "tRNA". From Rfam's summary of the family: Transfer RNA (tRNA) molecules are approximately 80 nucleotides in length. RNAcentral also lists the same sequence under 1 other name. The record is from RNAcentral. Lineage: Bacteria; Pseudomonadati; Bacteroidota; Bacteroidia.
GGUCUCAUAGUUCAAUGGAUAGAAUAGAAGUUUCCUAAACUUUUGAUGUGGGUUCGAUUCCCGCUGAGACCA